RNAcentral lists this long non-coding RNA (1453 nucleotides) under Callithrix jacchus (white-tufted-ear marmoset). RNAcentral describes it as "lncRNA (ENSCJAG00000075549.1)". Lineage: Eukaryota; Metazoa; Chordata; Mammalia; Primates; Cebidae. The record is from RNAcentral.
GGGGGAGGGGGCAGGGCUUGUAAACUGGGGAAGUGGGUGGGGUGGUGGGAGGCAAGAAAUAUUGCCAGGCCAGCAGGAACACUGACCCUCUUGGUUACUCAUCCUGUACCAAGCAACCAAGCAGCAUGGACGCAGAAGAAUUCUGAAAUGAUUUUAGAUAUUUCACAGUAUUGAGCAAAUCAGUAAAUACAUCGAUGUUGUUGUGAGCCAGGGUUCUCACUGUGGAGAAAAAAAGUUGUAAAUAUAGAAAGAGAGAAGACAUGGAUGUAAGAAGAAUGGAUUGCAAUUGGAGGUAUUGCUGUGGACUCAUAACUUCUGAAAUGUGUAUGUAUGCAUGAAUAUGUAUUAAUGGGAUCUAUCUCUUUCUUUCUCUCCCUCACUCCCUCCCUCCCCCGCUUAUUCUAAGGUACAGGCUGCCAUGCUAUGAAGAAAUCUUGGUAGCAGUGGCCACACCUAACAGCCACACCUUGCUUUUGAAUGGAAUAUUCUAACUAGGCAGAGCAAGGGAUCCUUAGAAUGUUUCCAGGGCAGAGGCCUUAGUUUUGCAGAGAAAAUAUGCAAGAUAAGCCUGGAAUUUCUUUUUAAAAUUGAGGUGAAAUUCACAUAAUAAAACCAGUUAUGUUAAAGUGUAUAAUCCUGUGGCAUUUAGUACAUUCCCAAGGUGUGUAAGCACCUCUUCUAUUUAGUGAGAGCCUGAAAUGUCUUGUUAUUCCAGGAUGUAAGGAAGUGCACAAAACAUACCAGGGCCAUGUCAUGAGGACAGAGGAACCAGACUGGAGAGGCUUUCCCUGCCCAUGUCUGGUACAGCUUGAACAUCAAAAUAAUUAUUGGUAGUAACAAAUUAUAAACCAUUGGAAAAAAAAGUAUAUAGAAUCUAUUCUAUAUAUUAAAAAGCAUAGAAAUAAAUAAAUGUAUGAAAAGGAUGGCUCUUUUUACAGUAGAAUACUGUUAUAAACAGAAUCGUGUCCUCCUAAAAUUCAUAUGUUAAAGCUGUAACCCCUAAUGUGACUAUAUUUGGAGACAGAGCCUUUAAGGAGGAAAGUAAGGGUUAAAUGGAGUCAUUAGGGUAGGGCCCAAACCCACUAAAAAUAGUAACCUCAAAGGAAGAAGACUCACCUGGGGCAUAUACAGAGAAAGACCAGUGAGGACACAGCAAAAAAGCCGUCAUCCACAAAACUGAAGAGAGAGGUUUAAGAAAAACCUACCCUGCUGGCAUCUUGAUCUUGGAUGUCCAGCCUCUGAACUGAGAGAAAUAAAUGUCUGAUGCUGAAACCAUCCAGUAUGUGGUAUUUUGUUGUGCGAGCCUGAGCAGGCUAAUACAAAUACCUAGUGUCAACUGGUAGAUUUGUCAAGAGAGCUGAAGUUGGGGGAAAAAUUAUUAUUUAACCACCAUUGUGUACUUAAGACUGUUUCUGGCAAGAGUCACUGAUGUUAAAUUUAGAUAAAUUUUUGG